This 547-nucleotide long non-coding RNA is filed under the name Solanum tuberosum (potato). RNAcentral describes it as "long non-coding RNA (STUB_LNC000450)". Lineage: Eukaryota; Viridiplantae; Streptophyta; Magnoliopsida; Solanales; Solanaceae. The record is from RNAcentral.
UCUCUCUUCCAUAAAUAAAAACUUUACUCAAAUAUCUUUCUUUCUUUUUAUUUUUGGUAAAUAGAGAGAGAUUUUAUACAUACUAAACAGUUACUACUUACUAUAUUCACUUGCAUAACGUUAAUGAUUUCGAACUUAAUUAGAUUAUUACAAAUCAAAGAGGAGAUUAUGUUUAGACUAUAAUUUCCUUCUUUAGCUGCUGCCUGCUAGUAGACUUGAGAGAAACCUUGUUGGAGGAUUCUUCAUGAAGACGUUUUAUUGUUAAUUACGGUUAUUUCCUUUAUGAAAAGGGAGUAAUUUUUUUUGUAAUUAUUGCAGAAAAAAUAGUAAAAGAAAAGAAGAAAAACAUACAAAGGAUUGAGAUUUGAGGAAAAAGAAUUAAUUUAUUUUAUCAUGUCAAAUUAUUUUUUUAAUGAUAAAUUUGAUUGAGUGAUUUUAUAAAAGCAAAACUCAAAGUUGAGUGAUUUUUUUGAUACAAAACAAAGUUGAAUGACUUUACAAGAGGAUUCCUCAAAGUUGAAUGACCUUUUGAGAUAUUUACUCCUAA